RNAcentral lists this ribosomal RNA (497 nucleotides) under uncultured bacterium. RNAcentral's name for it is "partial 16S ribosomal RNA". It matches the Rfam family "Bacterial small subunit ribosomal RNA", at positions 28 to 507 of the family's 1533-position model. The record is from RNAcentral.
GAUGAACGCUGGCGGCGUGCCUAAUACAUGCAAGUCGAGCGAACGGACGAGAAGCUUGCUUCUCUGAUGUUAGCGGCGGACGGGUGAGUAACACGUGGAUAACCUACCUAUAAGACUGGGAUAACUUCGGGAAACCGGAGCUAAUACCGGAUAAUAUUUUGAACCGCAUGGUUCAAAAGUGAAAGACGGUCUUGCUGUCACUUAUAGAUGGAUCCGCGCUGCAUUAGCUAGUUGGUAAGGUAGCGGCUUACCAAGGCAACGAUGCAUAGCCGACCUGAGAGGGUGAUCGGCCACACGGGAACUGAGACACGAUCCAGACUCCUACGGGAGGCAGCAGUGGGGAAUCUUCCGCAAUGGGCGAAAGCCUGACGGAGCAACGCCGCGUGAGUGAUGAAGGUCUUCGGAUCGUAAAACUCUGUUAUUAGGGAAGAACAUAUGUGUAAGUAACUGUGCACAUCUUGACGGUACCUAAUCAGAAAGCCACGGCUAACUACGUG